This 482-nucleotide ribosomal RNA is filed under the name uncultured bacterium. RNAcentral's name for it is "bacterial SSU rRNA". It matches the Rfam family "Bacterial small subunit ribosomal RNA", at positions 28 to 507 of the family's 1533-position model. The record is from RNAcentral.
GAUGAACGCUAGCGGCAGGCCUAAUACAUGCAAGUCGAGGGGUAAAUAUGUAGCAAUAUAUAUGAGACCGGCGCACGGGUGCGUAACACGUAUGCAACCUACCUUUUACUGGGGAAUAGCUCAGAGAAAUCUGAAUUAAUACCCCAUAAUAUUAUGAAAUGGCAUCAUUUUAUAAUUAAAGCUCCGGCGGUAAAAGAUGGGCAUGCGGAACAUUAGCUAGUUGGUGAGGUAAUGGCUCACCAAGGCUACGAUGUUUAGGGGGUCUGAGAGGAUGAUCCCCCACACUGGUACUGAGACACGGACCAGACUCCUACGGGAGGCAGCAGUAGGGAAUAUUGGGCAAUGGACGAAAGUCUGACCCAGCCAUGCCGCGUGCAGGAUGACUGUCCUAUGGAUUGUAAACUGCUUUUUAUAUGGGAAGAAACCCUUGGAUGCGUCCGAGGCUGACGGUACCAUAUGAAUAAGGAUCGGCUAACUUCGUG